This 350-nucleotide long non-coding RNA is filed under the name Brassica napus (rape). Its description in RNAcentral is "long non-coding RNA (BNAP_LNC011265)". Lineage: Eukaryota; Viridiplantae; Streptophyta; Magnoliopsida; Brassicales; Brassicaceae. The record is from RNAcentral.
UGUUUGCGUGUUAGUUUUUAUGCAUUAACCCUGGAUUUCAUUAGUGAGUGAAUAUUGGUUGAGAUUAUUGGCGUUUGCUUGAACUUUUUUUUUUUUUAUCUUGAACUACUAUUCACACAUUAACUAUGGUCUGGGUCAUAUUGUUCUCUGACCUUCGGUUGGAUCUUUUGCGUUUGCUUGAUGUUGUUGUAACCGUGAUGUUUAUAAAUGCAAUGCACAGAUGACAAAAAAAGCUAUUACGUCUAUAGAUAUAAUUUGUUUUAUACCAGAUGCAUCAUGCAUAGUAAUACUAUUUUAAAGAUCAAUAUGUUUUCUUUUAUUAGUAAAGUGUGUUUGAAAUAAUACAAAAU